This 675-nucleotide ribosomal RNA is filed under the name uncultured bacterium. Its description in RNAcentral is "bacterial SSU rRNA". It matches the Rfam family "Bacterial small subunit ribosomal RNA", at positions 56 to 706 of the family's 1533-position model. The record is from RNAcentral.
UGCAGUCGAACGCGAACGUUCCCUUCGGGGAACUAUUAGAGUGGCGAAAGGGCGAGCAAUACAUGGGCAACGUACCCCGGGCACAGGGAUAGCUGUGGGAAACUGCAGGUAAUACCUGAUGAUGCCGACGCAUCUUAAGAUGUAUCGGUCAAAUGGUGGGGCUCCCUUCGGGGACCUACCGGCCUAAGAGCGGCCCAUGUCCUAUCAGCUUGUUGGUGAGGUAACGGCUCACCAAGGCUUUGACGGGUACCGGGACUGAGAGGUUGACCCGGCGCAUUGGGACUGAGACACUGCCCAGACUCCUACGGGAGGCUGCAGUAACGAAUAUUCCGCAAUGGGCGAAAGCCUGACGGAGCGACGCCGCGUGUGGGAAUAAGCCCUUCGGGGUGUAAACCACUGUCAGGGACUACCAAGCAAUGGGGUUUAAUAUACCCCGGCGUUGAGGAAUCCCGAAGGAAGCCACGGCUAACUUCGUGCCAGCAGCCGCGGUAAGACGAAGGUGGCUAGCGUUGUUCGGAAUCAUUGGGCUUAAAGAGCAUGUAGGCGGCCCGACAAGCGUCGUGUGAAAUCCCUCGGCCCAACCGAGGAACUGCACGGCGAACUGUCAGGCUUGAGGCAAGUAGGGGCGUGUGGAACUCUUGGUGGAGCGGUGGAAUGCGCAGAUAUCAAGAGGAA